Molecule: non-coding RNA, 120 nt
Organism: Populus trichocarpa (black cottonwood)
Lineage: Eukaryota; Viridiplantae; Streptophyta; Magnoliopsida; Malpighiales; Salicaceae
Source: Rfam
GGGUGCGAUCAUACCAGCACUAAUGCACCGGAUCCCGUCAGAACUCCGCAGUUAAACGUGCUUGGGCGAGAGUAGUACUAGUGAUGGGUGACCUCCUGGGAAGUCCUCGUGUUGCAGCCC